CCGCUCCAUGUUUUCUUUUCCAACCUAUGUGGAGUCGCUCUUGAAUCAUGCUCGUGGCAUCGGUCUAACCCUAGUCGCUGCCAUUGUUUCUCGCCCCAUCAAUAGGUUGCUUCAGCGCCUUUGUACCUGUCGUGCUUUGUGUCAAUUUAGCGAAGCCGCUGAAUCCCUUGUCUUCGUUUUUCUUCCUCUAGGCACAUCACUAAUCCUCGCAGGACUUUGCAGGAGCUUGCUAUCCCCGUCCUGAGCCUUUUGUCGUCUCUAUCUGCUCCCCAUCGUUGAGAUCAACCUAGGUGAGUUUUCCCUAGGCCCUCUAACUCGAUGUGCUUUCCAUGCGUCAAUUCAUGGCCUGUAGGCCUAGUUCCUGUGCUCAUCGGGAACCUUCUUCACUGCCGACAAUGGAGCCACUGCUGCUCUGAAAAGUUCUGGCUUGCUACUUCCCUCUCUUCCCCUCAAAUGUAAUUGCAAUCGUACCCCUUCGUGGCCAUUUUUCUAAAGAGUUCCUCCUUUUCUUCGAUAUCUAGCCCGCAGUCCAUGGCCAGGUGUAAACAUAAUUUUUGAUUUAUUUUUUAAUCUGAAAAUAGUUUCCGUUAAAUACAAAACUACCAUUCAAUUCAUCUUUCUAUUUUCAAUCCAUUUUUAGUGAUUUUUGCGUCUUUGUGUUUGUGGCAAUGUGUAGAAUAUGUUCAUGAGCUUUUCAACUUGUUUUCCAUUGUUGUUGUAUUGUUCUAAUUAUAUUCAUUGUUUGCUAUGCAUGAUUAGCUCUAAAUGCUUAUGUGGUGGUAUAAUUGUGAUCGAGUAUAAAUGGUGAGCAAUUCAUUGGUGAUCAAGAGCAAUACUUUGACGAGCAGUACUAGCAGGAGUUCAUUGAUCAAGGCAAGUAUAGCAUGGGCUUUCCUUGUUGUUCUCACCAAUUAAAUUAAUUAGUCAUAUGCAUGUGUCAAUUUGAUACCAUAAGGACCUUCUAGUUUUUGUUACAUUAUACGUUGAUUACUGAC
RNAcentral lists this long non-coding RNA (995 nucleotides) under Sorghum bicolor (sorghum). Its description in RNAcentral is "long non-coding RNA (SBIC_LNC015797)". The record is from RNAcentral. Lineage: Eukaryota; Viridiplantae; Streptophyta; Magnoliopsida; Poales; Poaceae.